This 827-nucleotide long non-coding RNA is filed under the name Homo sapiens (human). RNAcentral's name for it is "HSALNT0261333". Lineage: Eukaryota; Metazoa; Chordata; Mammalia; Primates; Hominidae. The record is from RNAcentral.
UCAACACAAUGCACAUCACUGUCCACUCAUCUUUCUCUGGGGUAAGGUUGUACAUGUAAGUAUACAGGUAACAAACAGUUACUCCUGAAUCUUGGCAUCCAACCGCAAGGACAGCAUGAAUCUAGCUUCCUUUACUUCACAGCAUGUUUACUUUUAGUGUUUAGGCUGUUUAGCGUGGAGACCUGGGUAUGACGUAUUACUGAACACGACUGCUAGACAUCAGUAAAAUGGGAACGGGGCCUGCUCCAGCAAGCUUUGACCAGGGACAUUUUAUGAAAUUGCUACCUAGUACUAAAUGCUCUGUAUCAGUGCCCUUUCUGGGAUUCAGACUGGCAGAUCUAAUGGGUUCUCUUAGUGCAUAAAGCCUAGCGUUAUCUGUUAUUCUAGUGCUUAUCAUUUGCAAAAUGCUAGUCUCUACAGACCGCCGGGACUACAGCAGCCUGGCAGCAGGGCAUGGGUCCAUACUUUGCAGCUGAAUUAGAAUGAGACAGCUUUACAUUAACUAGGAAGCACCAGGCACUGCUGGCCACAUUUUAUGUCUUUGGUUUGUAAACGGUGUCUAUAAAGGAUCAUUCAAUUUAUAGCAAGUUACAUAUAUUCUGUAUAUUAGCACAGCCCAUUCUACCCUCUUCAAGCUCCUCACCCCCCAUUUGCCAGGGGCCUGCCUCCACAGCAGACACAGUGCAAAGACGCCAGAUUUCUUUAAAAGCAAUUUAUUUCUGAUUACAAAAUACAGGUGAGGAGCAUGGGCGAUGCCUGUAACCCCUUGGUUCUGCAGAGUAUAUGACCAGGUGGAAAGUCCAACAGAUGCCCCACUCACAAGAUAG